UCCAUUAAGACCGAACUCAAUAAUUUUGAAAGUCGCUUGCUGAAGUUGCGACAUCUGCAUACCGAGCAUGCUCUGCACAAGGAGAAGUACAAGGAUGAGAAGCACAAGGACAAAAGCAACCGCUUCGAAGAUAUGGAGGAUCAAUUGAAAAAACAAGCACGCAAGGUGGAAAAAUUGCAGGAGAACAUUGAGAAAACUAUCUUCAAGCAUUCAGAGCUAUGAUCAAAACGAAUCAUUAAACGUGCCAAGCGAAUAAAUUAGAUUUAAGAAC
Drosophila miranda is the source of this 271-nucleotide long non-coding RNA. RefSeq lists it as uncharacterized. The transcript has 2 exons. NCBI's taxonomy places the organism in Eukaryota, Metazoa, Arthropoda, Insecta, Diptera, Drosophilidae. The record is from RefSeq and is a predicted model, not a curated record.